Molecule: long non-coding RNA, 1031 nt
Organism: Scylla paramamosain (green mud crab)
Lineage: Eukaryota; Metazoa; Arthropoda; Malacostraca; Decapoda; Portunidae
Exons: 2
Source: RefSeq, a predicted model, not a curated record
UCACUCCACGAGACCCCAGUUCGGCCUAACAAUUGCUUGGUUUCAGAAUUCCACAGAAAGGUCUUGAAAUCUGUGCCCUGCUGCGGGUAAAGCUUGGCCCUUUCCUUGUCCAUGACGGUGAGAGGCGGGGAGAGGAGGACGUGGCGAGGGAGAGGCUGCUACUGACUGCCUUCCUCUCGGUCUCUCUCCAAGGGCUUCGUGAUGAUGGUCAAUGCAGUAUUCCCCCCCUCUAUAUUCUCUCUCCCUUGGUCUAACCCUGCCUGACCUCCCCUUGCGCAUGUCUGAUUAUACAGGAGGCCCCCAGACUGUCGAACACCGGCUGAAUACCUUACUGCAUCAGUCUACAGCAGGGACUUGUACCUGUCUCGCACUCAAGAUAUUGGCAAUACAAGGCAGUGUGAAGGAGACUGGGAUGACAGGAACCGGUGGCCAUCUUUGAGUCAAGAAUGUUGCAGCAUUUAAUUUUGUGAUCUGUAAUCGUAACGAGGGACUUGUAAGCGUCUCGCACUCAAGAUAUUGGCAAUACAAGGCAGUGUGAUGGAGGCAGGGAUGACAGGAACCGGCAGCCAUCUUUCCACGUCAAGAUGUUACAGAAUCCAUUUCAUUUCUCUGUAAUCGUAACGAGAGGCUUGCAAUUGUCUCGUUAAUUCAAGAUGCUGGUAAUAUACAGCUGCAAAGGCGGACAAGCAUGGCAGGAACCGGCAGCCAUCUCUGAGUCAACAGCACUACGUAAUCAAUAUUUCCCUUCUGUAAUCGUUAUGGAAAUGACUUGUAACUACCCUCAUCGACUCAAGAUACCGGCAUAGUACAGGAAAGUGAAAGACGGACGGCAGGAACCGGCAGCCAUCUUUCUGGGUCAAGGAUAUUGCAUAAUCAAUAUUUCUCCUCUCUAAUAACGAAGAGGACUCCUCCUUAUUAACUCAAGACACCGGGGAAACACAACAGAGGAGAGCAGGAUGGCAGGAACCGGCAGCUAGCUUUUCUGGGUCAACACCAUCACAUAAUCAAUAUUUUUUCGUCUAUAAUCGUAA